RNAcentral lists this ribosomal RNA (403 nucleotides) under uncultured bacterium. RNAcentral's name for it is "bacterial SSU rRNA". It matches the Rfam family "Bacterial small subunit ribosomal RNA", at positions 355 to 775 of the family's 1533-position model. The record is from RNAcentral.
CAGGGAAUUUUGCGCAAUGGGCGAAAGCCUGACGCAGCAACGCCGCGUGGGGGAUGAAGGCUCUUGGGUCGUAAACCCCUUUUGCCGGGGAAGAUAAUGACGGUACCCGGCGAAUAAGCCACGGCUAACUACGUGCCAGCAGCCGCGGUAAUACGUAGGGCGCAAGCGUUAUCCGGAAUUAUUGGGCGUAAAGAGCUCGUAGGCGGUUUGUCGCGUCUGCCGUGAAAGUCCGGGGCUCAACUCCGGAUCUGCGGUGGGUACGGGCAGACUAGAGUGAUGUAGGGGAGACUGGAAUUCCUGGUGUAGCGGUGAAAUGCGCAGAUAUCAGGAGGAACACCGAUGGCGAAGGCAGGUCUCUGGGCAUUAACUGACGCUGAGGAGCGAAAGCAUGGGGAGCGAACAG